UACGGGGGGGGCAAGCGUUGUUCGGAAUUACUGGGCGUAAAGAGCUCGUAGGCGGUCUGUCGCGUCGGAUGUGAAAACCCGGGGCUUAACCCCGGGCCUGCAUUCGAUACGGGCAGACUCGAGUGUGGUAGGGGAGACUGGAACUCCUGGUGUAGCGGUGAAAUGCGCAGAUAUCAGGAAGAACACCGGUGGCGAAGGCGGGAUCCUGGGCCAGUACUGACGCUGAGGAGCGAGAGCGUGGGGAGCAAACAGG
RNAcentral lists this ribosomal RNA (253 nucleotides) under uncultured bacterium. RNAcentral's name for it is "partial 16S ribosomal RNA". It matches the Rfam family "Bacterial small subunit ribosomal RNA", at positions 524 to 776 of the family's 1533-position model. The record is from RNAcentral.